GAUGAACGCUGGCGACAUGGAUAAGGCAUGCAAGUCGAGCGAGUGAAUUUCCUUCGGGAUUGAAGCUAGCGGCGGACGGGUGAGUAACACGUGGGCAACCUGCCUCAUAGAGGGGAAUAGCCUUUCGAAAGGAAGAUUAAUACCGCAUAAGAUUGUAGCUUCGCAUGAAGUAGCAAUUAAAGGAGCAAUCCGCUAUGAGAUGGGCCCGCGGCGCAUUAGCUAGUUGGUGAGGUAACGGCUCACCAAGGCGACGAUGCGUAGCCGACCUGAGAGGGUGAUCGGCCACAUUGGGACUGAGACACGGCCCAGACUCCUACGGGAGGCAGCAGUGGGGAAUAUUGCACAAUGGGGGAAACCCUGAUGCAGCAACGCCGCGUGAGUGAUGACGGCCUUCGGGUUGUAAAGCUCUGUCUUCAGGGACGAUAAUGACGGUACCUGAGGAGGAAGCCACGGCUAACUACGUGCCAGCCGCCGCUGUAA
Molecule: ribosomal RNA, 480 nt
Filed under: uncultured bacterium
Lineage: Bacteria
Description: partial 16S ribosomal RNA
Rfam family: Bacterial small subunit ribosomal RNA
Source: RNAcentral